GACGGACGCUGGCGGCGUGCUUAACACAUGCAAGUCGAACGGUAAGGCCCUUCGGGGUACACGAGUGGCGAACGGGUGAGUGACACGUGGGUGAUCUGCCCUGCACUUCGGGAUAAGCCUGGGAAACUGGGUCUAAUACCGGAUAGGACCACUGCCUGCAUGGGUGGUGGUGGAAAGCUUUUGCGGUGUGGGAUGGGCCCGCGGCCUAUCAGCGUGUUGGUGGGGUGAUGGCCUACCAAGGCGACGACGGGUAGCCGGCCUGAGAGGGUGACCAGCCACACUGGGACUGAGAUACGGCCCAGACUCCUACGGGAGGCAGCAGUGGGGAAUAUUGCACAAUGGGCGCAAGCCUGAUGCAGCGACGCCGCGUGAGGGAUGACGGCCUUCGGGUUGUAAACCUCUUUCAGCACCGACGAAGCGCAAGUGACGGUAGGUGCAGAAGAAGGACCGGCCAACUACGUGCCAGCAGCCGCCGUAA
Molecule: ribosomal RNA, 478 nt
Filed under: uncultured bacterium
Lineage: Bacteria
Description: partial 16S ribosomal RNA
Rfam family: Bacterial small subunit ribosomal RNA
Source: RNAcentral